AUGGGGCGAACCACAACUAAUCCUAUUUGGUGUCAGAUAUGGAAAUUAUACUGUCCGGCAAAAGUCAAAAUUUUUAUAUGGCGUACGUUACAUGGCACUCUCCCAUGUCGGGCAACACUUGCUAAUAGACACAUGAAGGUCUCGCCCCUUUGUCCUACUUGAUCUCAGGGUGUAGAAGACACGAAGCAUAUGCUUUUCCUAUGUAAUAAAGCAAAGGAGGUUUGGAAAAGGCUAUGAAUAGAUGAGAUUAUUGAUAGAGCUUGUGAGGUUGAUCGUGCUGGAGAGGCGACACUGGAAUACCUUUUAGUUCUUCCAGAUCAAGAUUUGCGUAUUAUGAGGUACCAAAAUGUACGAGAAAUGAUAGCUAUUUCAGCUUGGUAUCUAUGGUGGGAGAGAAGGAAAUUAGUGCACAAGGAAACAACUCAGAAUGCAACUCAGAUAUCAAUGGGGAUCAUAGCCCUCACAUACAAUUUUGUAAAUGCAUCAUCUUCAAAGGCGUCCAUGAAAAAAGGGGGUUGGCAUUGUCCCCCUAGGGGUUUCGUGAAACUCAAUGUUGACGCCUCUUUUGACCAUGACAUGCUGAAGGGUACGAUGGGGGCGGUUUUGCGAGACGACAAAGGUAGGUUUACUGCAGGAGAAAAUGAAAAGAUUGACCAUUGUGCGGAUGUGCUGAUGGCAGAAGCUUUAGCCCUCAAAUUUGGACUAACACUAGCGCAAAGGGCAGGGUGCAAUCGCCUAAUCAUCAACUCA
RNAcentral lists this ribosomal RNA (750 nucleotides) under Triticum aestivum (bread wheat). RNAcentral's name for it is "partial small subunit ribosomal RNA". The record is from RNAcentral. Lineage: Eukaryota; Viridiplantae; Streptophyta; Magnoliopsida; Poales; Poaceae.